GACGAAAGCUAGGGGAGCGAAUGGGAUUAGAUACCCCAGUAGUCUUAGCUGUAAACGAUGGAUACUAGGCGUAGCUCGUAUCGACCCGAGCUGUGCCGAAGCUAACGCGUUAAGUAUCCCGCCUGGGGAGUACGCACGCAAGUGUGAAACUCAAAGGACAUGACGGGGACCCGCACAAGCGGCGGAGUAUGUGGUUUAAUUCGAUGCAACGCGAAGAACCUUACCAGGGCUUGACAUGUCCGGAAUCCCGGUGAAAGCUGGGAGUGCUUUCGGGAGCCGGUACACAGCUGGUGCAUGGCAGUCGUCAGCUCGUGUCGUGAGAUGUUGGGUUAAGUCCCGCAACGAGCGCAACCCUCGUCGGUAGUUGCCAGCAGUAAGUUGCGCACUCUAGAGAGACUGCCGGUGACCAACCGGAGGAAGGUGGGGAUGACGUCAAGUCAGCAUGCCCCUUACGAUCUGGGCGACACACGUACUACAAUGGUCGGGACAGAGGGCAGCGAGCCUGCGAAGGCAAGCUAAUCCCA
This 524-nucleotide ribosomal RNA is filed under the name uncultured organism. RNAcentral's name for it is "bacterial SSU rRNA". It matches the Rfam family "Bacterial small subunit ribosomal RNA", at positions 752 to 1276 of the family's 1533-position model. The record is from RNAcentral.